AUACGUAGGUGGCAAGCGUUAUCCGGAUUUACUGGGUGUAAAGGGCGCGUAGGCGGGGGUGCAAGUCAGAUGUGAAAUCUAUGGGCUUAACUCAUAAACUGCAUUUGAAACUGUAUCUCUUGAGUGCUGGAGAGGCAGGCGGAAUUCCUAGUGUAGCGGUGAAAUGCGUAGAUAUUAGGAGGAACACCAGUGGCGAAGGCGGCCUGCUGGACGACAACUGACGCUGAGGCGCGAAAGCGUGGGGAGCAAACAGGAUUAGAUACCCUGGUAGUCCACGCUGUAAACGAUGAAUACUAGGUGUGGGGGGACUGACCCCCUCCGUGCCGCAGUUAACACAAUAAGUAUUCCACCUGGGGAGUACGAUCGCAAGAUUGAAACUUAAAGGAAUUGACGGGG
This 396-nucleotide ribosomal RNA is filed under the name uncultured bacterium. RNAcentral's name for it is "partial 16S ribosomal RNA". It matches the Rfam family "Bacterial small subunit ribosomal RNA", at positions 523 to 918 of the family's 1533-position model. The record is from RNAcentral.